UGCAGAAUCCCGUGAACCAUCGAGUUUUUGAACGCAAGUUGCGCCCGAUGCCAUUAGGUUGAGGGCACGUCUGCCUGGGUGUCACAUAUCGAAUCCCCUUGCCAAUUUCCUAUUUAUUAGGUAUUGCGUGCAGGGUGAAUAUGUUGGCCUCCCGUGAGCUCUGUCUCGUGGUUGGUUGAAAAUUGAGACCUUGGUAGGGUGUGCCAUGAUAGAUGGUGGAUGUGUGACCCACGAGACCAAAUCAUGUGCAGCUCUAUUGAACGUGGACUCUUUUACCCACAUGUGUUUUAUAACGCUCGUGAUGAGACCUCAGGUCAGGCGGGGCUACCCGCUGAAUUUAAGCAUAUCAAUAAGCGGAGGAAAAGAAACUAACAAGGAUUCCCUUAGUAACGGCGAGCGAACCGGGAUAAGCCCACCAUGAGAAUCGGUCGCCCUCGGCGUUCGA
This 445-nucleotide non-coding RNA is filed under the name Medicago sativa subsp. falcata (sickle medic). RNAcentral describes it as "Medicago falcata (sickle medic) sequence contains ITS2". The stretch from base 305 to 445 matches the Rfam family "Eukaryotic large subunit ribosomal RNA", at positions 1 to 141 of the family's 3401-position model. Lineage: Eukaryota; Viridiplantae; Streptophyta; Magnoliopsida; Fabales; Fabaceae. The record is from RNAcentral. RNAcentral also lists the same sequence under 1 other name.